This 497-nucleotide ribosomal RNA is filed under the name uncultured bacterium. Its description in RNAcentral is "partial 16S ribosomal RNA". It matches the Rfam family "Bacterial small subunit ribosomal RNA", at positions 28 to 507 of the family's 1533-position model. The record is from RNAcentral.
GAUGAACGCUGGCGGCGUGCCUAAUACAUGCAAGUCGAGCGAACAGACGAGGAGCUUGCUCCUCUGACGUUAGCGGCGGACGGGUGAGUAACACGUGGAUAACCUACCUAUAAGACUGGGAUAAUUUCGGGAAACCGGAGCUAAUCCCGGAUAAUAUAUUGAACCGCAUGGUUCAAUAGUGAAAGACGGUUUUGCUGUCACUUAUCGAUGGAUCCGCGCGGCAUUAGCUAGUUGGUAAGGUAACGGGUUACCAAGGCAACGAUGCGUAGCCGACCGGAGAGGGUGAUCGGCCACCCUGGAACUGGGACACGGUCCAGACUCCUACGGGAGGCAGCAGUAGGGAAUCUUCCGCAAUGGGCGAAAGCUUGACGGAGCAACGCCGCGUGAGUGAUGAAGGUCUUCGGAUCGUAAAACUCUGUUAUUAGGGAAGAACAAAUGUGUAAGUAACUAUGCACGUCUUGACGGUACCUAAUCAGAAAGCCACGGCUAACUACGUG